UUACGGUCGUAUCACGUUGAAACCCCGGUUCCCGUAGGAUGACCUAAGUUAACCGACGUCGAGCCUGGUUAGUAACUUCAUGGGUGAUCGCUUGGGAAUACCAGGUGCUGUAAA
Non-coding RNA from Acanthosepion pharaonis, 114 nucleotides. The record is from the annotation of a GenBank genome assembly. NCBI's taxonomy places the organism in Eukaryota, Metazoa, Mollusca, Cephalopoda, Sepiida, Sepiidae.